UCCAUACUUUGUGUGCACAGUGUAGAACAAUGUAGAACAAUGUACUGUGACAGUUUCUGUUAUUCACAGAUCAUGUACAGCACACGAAGGCUUCCUGGAUUUGGGCUAACAGAUGGUGAAGGCAUGGAGAGGUUAUGGUCGUUUUUGAGAAGAUUUUCAUGAGUGACUAAAGAGAUGACUCCUUUCCAUCGGCUUGACCUUCUGACUGAUGCCUUACUCUAUUAUGGAAGAAGAAAAUCAACAGAUCUAGGCUGAUAUAUUUCUGUAUUUGCUGAUUAAACAGAAUUGAUCAAUUUGGAUUCAAACUGAAACUGGUCACUACUUACAGACGUGCAGCUCAUUCAGAGAUGGGACAAAGCAGAGAAGGUCUGGAGUCUUGCUGAGGAGGAGAUUUCUGCAGUUUUGAAAGAGGCACCAAGUGUGUAUUUCAGAACGUGACAUACAACAGUAGAUGGAAACAGAGAUUGAAGUUGCCCAACCUGCACGUUUGAAAACAAGACCCACAGAUAUGCUGAUGUACUUGAUUCUUUCAUUUUGCAGAAACUGUAUUAAAGUAGUUGACAGCGGCAGCUUCCAUAGUUUCUACAGUACCCUUACACAGUGAACAUUUACUUGUUUUACUAUUGAAAAGUCCUUCCACCAGAGAUCUCUGAACCAGAAGUACCCAACUGGAGAUGAAACACAGCUGGAGAGUGAUCUUCAAGCAAUUGAGAGACACUAUGGAAUAAAACAAAAAUGGUGUGAGAUUUUCCAGUCAACAUUGAGAGACCUUGACCAGGAAGUCAGAGGUCACUUGAUUUUACAAGCACAAAAUGAAGCCAGGGAGAGGGUCACUCUUCUCAACCUGAAAAGAAAAUAUCCUGAUGGACAGGGAAUUACUAUUAGGCUGUCCAAGCAGGUAAACGCCUGCAACAGGAGACUGAAGAAGAAUUUUACAGGGUACAAUGGUCUGCAGUGGCCACCACAAACCACCAAGUUCCCAUCACAUUUAGAAUUUCCAGAUGUGCGUGAUGUCUCCUUGCCCCUGUACUCAUUCAUUGAUGAACCAACAGGAGAUAAAAGUAACGUUCCCAGGGCCCUGAAAAAGCGAGCCGUUGAUGUUUUGCAUUUGAAGACCAGAGCCGCUGAAGAAAAGCUUCUGCUUCAGAGAGAGAUGGACACUCUGACUCAUCACCUCCAUCAGCAACAUGAACAUUUGCAUUCAGCAAUAAAUGACACUAUGGACCCUGGUUCCAAAGCUGUUCUUCUUCACAGUAUUAUCCUGUUGGAAAGGAAACUGUACAAUGCCAUGAUAAUGUUCAAAAAUCAUAUUACAGUUGUUGCUCCUCCUCCAAAUGUGUACCUGCCAGAGUUUACCUCUUUCCCAAUCAGUUAUUUCAGCUGAUAUGCAUAUUUUACUAUGUGACGACAGCAGUCAUGACAAAGAGGAUGAAGCUGACGAGAAUGAUGUCGAUGAUGAUGAUGAUGAUGAAGUUGAUGACUGUGAUUAGUUUUGUAAAACAAUAGCAAGCAUCGUGAUCUCGUCAUAAUGUGUUUAGAAAGCGCAUUCUCCAGUCAUUAAUAUCGAUUUGACUCGCAGUCCAUGGAGUUUGUGUAUUUCUUUAUUGUAUUUAAUUCCAGUGUUAAAAAAAUGAAUUUGAUGUUAAUUGUUAACAAUGGGAUUUGCUGUUGAAAAAAUAAUUUUGUUAAAGUCAAACACGACUCUUAAUAAACCGUAACUGUAGAAAAUAAAUGUAUCAUUUUGAUAGAGGUUUAUUUUUAAUCAAUAAAGAUGUAUGGUGUA
This is an RNA transcript of Girardinichthys multiradiatus, 1783 nucleotides long. RefSeq lists it as uncharacterized. The record is from RefSeq and is a predicted model, not a curated record. The transcript is spliced from 7 exons. Lineage: Eukaryota; Metazoa; Chordata; Actinopteri; Cyprinodontiformes; Goodeidae.